AAAUUGCCGAUGAUGGUGUUAAAUAUACUUUGUAGCGUUCUCGCUGUGAAAUAAACCUAAAGCUGAGGCAAUUG
Molecule: small nucleolar RNA, 74 nt
Organism: Setaria italica (foxtail millet)
Lineage: Eukaryota; Viridiplantae; Streptophyta; Magnoliopsida; Poales; Poaceae
Source: Rfam